AAGAAUUUAAGUUAACAAAACUAUUAGCCUUCAAAGCCAACAUUAGAAAAAUUCUAAUUCUUA
This 63-nucleotide transfer RNA is filed under the name Trigonopterus porg. Its description in RNAcentral is "tRNA-Trp". The record is from RNAcentral. Lineage: Eukaryota; Metazoa; Arthropoda; Insecta; Coleoptera; Curculionidae.